CCUUCUGUGCUACCUGACCAAAAAAGAGUAUGGUCUUUCUGAGAAGAAGAGCAUAUCUACCUUGAAGACCUUCUGGAAAGUCGCCUAUGAAAAGAGCAUACCCAACCCAUAUGAGCCUGUCCGAGACUUGCCAUUCCCAUUGAAUAAACUUUCCCUGCGUAUUGAUUCAUUGCCGACUGAACGGGAAAUGCUUGCUUCUAUUCCCUCCCUCCGAGCGAUGAACCGCGAUUUUCUAGCUGUACGGAAUCCCUGGGGAGUAAAGGGAUAGGUGGAACAGGAGGGGGUGGAAGAACUACUGAAAGUAAUCCAUAAGAUUCAAUACCUUUCCGGCUAUAGGGAAGGGAUCAUCAGAGGGUGGAAAUUUCCUCCAAUCGGAAUACUUGCUUUUCUAUAGGGAUUGCAUGCCCAUUUUAGG
This 415-nucleotide long non-coding RNA is filed under the name Panax ginseng (ginseng). RNAcentral's name for it is "long non-coding RNA (PGIN_LNC000919)". Lineage: Eukaryota; Viridiplantae; Streptophyta; Magnoliopsida; Apiales; Araliaceae. The record is from RNAcentral.